Molecule: long non-coding RNA, 1091 nt
Organism: Marmota monax (woodchuck)
Lineage: Eukaryota; Metazoa; Chordata; Mammalia; Rodentia; Sciuridae
Exons: 2
Source: RefSeq, a predicted model, not a curated record
GACAAAAAAAAAAAAAAAAAAAAAAAAAACCCACCAAAAAAAUAAAAUAAAAUUAUAAAGUCUUAUCUGAGCUACAUUCCCUAACCCAGUGUAUAUAUGUCUUGUUCAUGCAAAUUGAAAACUCUGCUUUAAAUAAAAUAAUACUUUAUUUGAGCCAAAUAUGCAAACCAAGGCUGAGGAAUAUGAACUCAGGUUAACCUGAGUGACCUACAUUCUCUGAAGUAGAAAAGGCUGCAUAAGUGAUUGUUUACAGACAAAGAGCAAGAAACCUGUAAUCCCAGCUACUUGGGAGGCUGAGACCACCCAUCACUCAAAUGGCCCUCCAGCCUAUUACUUCUCAAUCUGACUUCUAUCAUGGACCACUAGAUAGACCUGAUAGACCCGAUUUUUAAAGGGGACUCCAAACUGCUUGCCCAACAUCAUCCCCUUUCAGCCUGAAGAAGCCAGAAUGAUCUUCGCCCCCUUUCCUUACAGCAGUAAGGAGUUCCCAAAAUUAGAGGGGGGAAUGAAGCCAGAUUUAAAAUUAGGCAGUCAGGGCUGGGGAUGUCGCUCAAGUGGUAGUGCGCUCCUCUGGCAUGUGUGCGGCCCGGGUUCGAUCCUCAGCACCACAUACCAACAAAGAUGUUGUGUCUGCCGAUAACUAAAAAAAUAAAUAAAUAUUAAAAAAAAAUAAAUAAAAUUAGGCAGUCAGUGUAGUUAGGUAAAUUGAGUCUAAUAUCCAGUGAAAUCUAAAAUGGAGGCCAUGUUGAGAAGAAUUUCCGGAAAAGUUGAGCAACUCUUGAAAUGUUAAUAAAGUCCCAAGAAAAGCCCUAGGCCCAAAGUCCAUCCCAAAGAAAUGUUAAUGAACAGCCCCAGCAGAUUUGAAGAUAGCCCAUCCCAAAGAAGUGUUAAUGAAGUCCUUGCUGCCCAGAUUACUUCUUUGGCCCACCUGUGUCCCACCCCUCAGCCUUCCAACCUACAUUCCAUCAUUGAAAGAACUAUAAAAAGGGGAAACAACCGCACUUCCACGGAUUCCACGUCUUGGGUCCCCUCCUUCCUCCGGGUUAAGUCUUUUCUGCUGUCCUUUAAUAAACUUCUAAUUUCUACUCUGA